Molecule: transfer RNA, 76 nt
Filed under: Pseudomonas aeruginosa
Lineage: Bacteria; Pseudomonadati; Pseudomonadota; Gammaproteobacteria; Pseudomonadales; Pseudomonadaceae
Description: tRNA-Ala
Rfam family: tRNA
About the family: Transfer RNA (tRNA) molecules are approximately 80 nucleotides in length. Their secondary structure includes four short double-helical elements and three loops (D, anti-codon, and T loops).
Source: RNAcentral
GGGGCCAUAGCUCAGCUGGGAGAGCGCAUGCUUUGCACGCAGGAGGUCAGGAGUUCGAUCCUCCUUGGCUCCACCA